Molecule: ribosomal RNA, 301 nt
Filed under: uncultured bacterium
Lineage: Bacteria
Description: partial 16S ribosomal RNA
Rfam family: Bacterial small subunit ribosomal RNA
Source: RNAcentral
CAGCAGCCGCGGGAAUACGAAGGGGGCUAGCGUUGUUCGGAAUUACUGGGCGUAAAGGGCGCGUAGGCGGCCAUUCAAGUUAGAUGUGAAAGCCCUGGGCUCAACCUAGGAAUUGCAUUUGAUACUGUUUGGCUUGAGUUCGGGAGAGGUGAGUGGAAUUCCCAGUGUAGAGGUGAAAUUCGUAGAUAUUGGGAAGAACACCAGUGGCGAAGGCGGCUCACUGGACCGACACUGACGCUGAGGCGCGGAAGCGUGGGGAGCAAACAGGAUUAGAUACCCGCGUAGUCCCUGUCUCUUAUAC